Non-coding RNA from Oryctolagus cuniculus (rabbit), 755 nucleotides. The record is from RefSeq and is a predicted model, not a curated record. NCBI's taxonomy places the organism in Eukaryota, Metazoa, Chordata, Mammalia, Lagomorpha, Leporidae.
GGGCGAGCGGGCAGUGGGCACGAGGGAGCCGCGUGGCACGUCACACAGGAAUGACCGUUUGGCCAGCUCUGGGAACAGAAGGGAUGGCGCCUGCGGGACGCCCCCUCCCCACCCCUGUACCGAGGGCUCCCGUGUUCCCUUUUGUUGUGUUAAGAGGUGAUCCCUUCCUGCAGACUGGUGCGGAUUCCUAGAGGACAGGCAGUAACUUCGUUUCUGCCGGGGAGAUGGUCAGAGCCCUGGGACCUGAGGGCUUUCAUAACUAGUUUCUGGACGGCUGCACGCAGAAAGCACUACACACCAAGAGCCGAGGGCGGGCAGCUGAGCGCCAGACAUCCAGUCCAGACUGGAAAGAACAGGAAUGAAGGUUUCAUCACCUUGGAAAGUGGGGAGAUAAACAUCUAAAAUCCAGGCCCAUGAGUCUUUGGGAACGUGUUUAUGGAAUAUGAAAACUAACAGCAAGCAAGUUUUGCUUAGCCAGUAAGUUACGAGGAGAUAAAAAAGAAACAGACUGAGUGAAUAAGGUAAAUAACUUGCAAAGCACCCAGAUCUCAGGGCCCAGGAGCUAAGAGGAAAAGCUACACAUUUCACUUGGCUUGGCUGAAGAACUUAAAAACGACCUUACUGUAAUAUAUUGGUCAACUAGUUCUUUAUUUAUUACCAAGUCCUUUGUACAUCUACGCAAAGAAACAAAUUUUAGAAUUUUAAAAAUAUAUUUGAAAAGCUGAGAGGAAAACAAUCAUUAAAAUUAGGGUAUA